UCAUCCCGUUGACUUUCACAGCUGCCCAGACUGUCAUGGUGAGAGAUGGCAGCCUGUCUAAGCCAGAGGAAGCUAGAGGCUCGCUUUCUCACAAUCAGGAUCCGGAUCCUUCACCUGAAGUCUUGGGAAACCUUGCUACCCAGAAUGUAGAUGCGGCUGUCUGCUCCAACAGCGUGACCUGAUGGCUGCUUUGCAGGGCGCAUGCGCAUGUGCUAUCGAUUCCCCUCGGGCUGUGUGCUGCUGGGCCACAGGGCAAGUGGCUGCUUAUGUAUUCUGACUGUGCCACUUUGAGGACAGAAUUCUAAGAACGAUACCACAUGGUCAUAUGGAUUGUACUUUAUUUCUCCAAGGCCUUGCUUCCCCAACCCGAAGCUGUGUUAGCGCUGCCUACGAGUGUUCAUAGGAUGCAAUGGAGUAGCAGUAGGUCCUCUGACUCUGUGCGGGUGAGAAUUCUGCUGGGGAGCCUGCGCACAGCCUUUUAAUCCAAUUCCUGGGGCAUCAGGGAUCCAGUGCAAAGGAAAUCAGGGACCACACACACUUCUGCUCUCAGGACCGCCUGGAUCUGGAAGUUCUGAGGCUGGCCUGCUCUCUCCAGAUCUAAAAACAACCAACCCUCUUGCUCCCGUACACAAUUCUGGCUGACAGAGGUCCGGAGACUCCUAAAGUGUGCUAAACUUUUAAAUAAACUUCCAAGAUGUGACCCCCUCGGACCGCCCGCGUGCUUGUGGCCACCCACCUGGGGAGACCACACCUCGUUUUCUUGCCUUGCUAUCUAUAGUGCUCUCCUUGAGAUGUGUCCUUUUAUUUUCCAGUUUGAGGGUCAUAAAAAUUUCCCGUCUUUCCCUCCCAAGAAU
Molecule: long non-coding RNA, 854 nt
Filed under: Rattus norvegicus (Norway rat)
Lineage: Eukaryota; Metazoa; Chordata; Mammalia; Rodentia; Muridae
Description: long non-coding RNA NONRATT024126
Source: RNAcentral